UGAGGAAUACAUGGAUAACGUACCCUGGACACGGGGAUAGCGGCGGGACUUCGGUUCCUUUGCGAAAGCGCCGGUAAUACCCGAUGACCCCGUAGGAUCGCAUGAUCCAGCGGGCAAAGCUCCGACGGUCCAGGAGCGGUUCAUGUCCUAUCAGCUUGUUGGUGGGGUAACGGCCUACCAAGGCGACGACGGGUAGCGGGCGUGAGAGCGUGAUCCGCCUCAUCGGGACUGAGACACGGCCCGGACACCUACGGGUGGCUGCAGCAACGAAUAUUCCGCAAUGGACGCAAGUCUGACGGAGCGACGCCGCGUGCAGGAAGAAGUCCUUCGGGAUGUAAACUGCUGUCAGGGGUUAGGAAUAAAUGACCAACCCCAAAGGAAGCACUGGCUAACUCCGUGCCAGCAGCCGCGGUAAUACGGAGAGUGCAAGCGUUGUUCGGAAUCACUGGGCUUAAAGCGCGUGCAGGCGGAGUGUCAGGUGUCGUGUGAAGCCCCGAGCUCAACUCGGGUAGGCCACGGCAAACCGGCACCCUUGAGGCAGGUAGAGGUGACUGGAACGACUGGUGGAGCGGUGAAAUGCGUAGAUAUCAGUUGGAACGCCAGAGGCGAAAGCGGGUCGCUGGGCCUGUCCUGACGCUGAGACGCGAAAGCGUGGGUAGCGAAGAGGAUUAGAUACCCUCGUAGUCCACGCCGUAAACGAUGCGCACUAGGUAUGAGAGGCUCUGACGUCGAUCGUGCCGUAGCAAAAGUGAUAAGUGCGCCGCCUGGGGAGUACGGCCGCAAGGNUAAAACUCAAAGGAAUUGACGGGGGCUCACACAAGCGGUGGAGCAUGUGGAUU
Molecule: ribosomal RNA, 839 nt
Filed under: uncultured Planctomycetota bacterium
Lineage: Bacteria; Pseudomonadati; Planctomycetota
Description: bacterial SSU rRNA
Rfam family: Bacterial small subunit ribosomal RNA
Source: RNAcentral